CCCCCCUGCACCAGGCAGUUCCUAUUAUCACAGGGGAGGCUGCACUGGAUGCUGCCUCAUGAAUCUCGGUGUCUUCCUGAAGCAGUGCAACACUUAUUAUUUUUAUAAUAAAAACUGUGUAGUAUGACAGGUGAGGCUCUGCCUCCCCUGACUGCACGUCCCUGCGCCUGGGGUGCCGAGAAACGCGUUGAGGGUACAGAAGAAAGGGCCGCACUGACCACUAAGUGCCCAAAGGAGAAAUAUAUACACCCACAUUGGCUGUCUGCUACAAGUUGCCGGUAACUUGUUCAUUUGUGAUCAGACUAUAACAUCCAAACCUUCCUCUACACCUGGAAUUUACAAAUAUUCCGCCCUGCUGGGCAUCGCUCACUUGAGCUGGGGGAUCUGCACGGCGGCUUGAUGCACUUACACUGUGCCGCAUUGAAGGGAACGGCUUCCAUCUGAACAUGCUGCUGACGGAUGUUUCACCCGUGCACAGGGUGAUAAUAAGCGGCUUUCAACAACUUACUUCGUGCAGUAAGGAACCACAGCGUUUCAGUGAGUAGCAGCAACCAUACGGUUAUAUAGUCUUUAUUUACUCCAUGGAAACAAUCACUUAAUUUUGGACACAUAUAUAUGGUCAGAGACGCUAAAUAUACCAGUUGGAGGAUUAAUUCCUAUUUGAACUGUGAGAUAUGGAACUAUUUUGAGAGACUAAUCCAAUCUAAUAGAGAGUGUCUCUCUCUAUAAAUUCCUAGCGACCCUUUCUUAUAUCAUCUAUACUAUUUAUGUAUGUAUCUAUGUAGGUAUCAGAGGUUUAUAACACCUCAGUUUCAUGUUUUAGGAAUUAUUGUGGUCUAUUUUUUAGUGUGUUUGUUAUUGUUUUUAUAUCCCAAUAAAUUGCUUUUUAUAGAUAUAA
Molecule: long non-coding RNA, 898 nt
Organism: Pseudophryne corroboree (corroboree frog)
Lineage: Eukaryota; Metazoa; Chordata; Amphibia; Anura; Myobatrachidae
Exons: 2
Source: RefSeq, a predicted model, not a curated record